Molecule: ribosomal RNA, 252 nt
Filed under: uncultured bacterium
Lineage: Bacteria
Description: partial 16S ribosomal RNA
Rfam family: Bacterial small subunit ribosomal RNA
Source: RNAcentral
UUGAACGCUGGCGGCAUGCCUUACACAUGCAAGUCGAACGGUAGAGGGGCAACCCUUGAGAGUGGCGAACGGGUGAGCAAUAUAUCGGAACGUGCCCAGUCGUGGGGGAUAACGCAGCGAAAGCUGCGCUAAUACCGCAUACGAUCUAUGGAUGAAAGCGGGGGAUCGCAAGACUUCGCGCGAUUGGAGCGGCCGAUAUCAGAUUAGGUAGUUGGUGGGGUAAAAGCCCACCAAGCCGACGAUCUGUAGCUG